RNAcentral lists this ribosomal RNA (347 nucleotides) under uncultured bacterium. Its description in RNAcentral is "partial 16S ribosomal RNA". It matches the Rfam family "Bacterial small subunit ribosomal RNA", at positions 338 to 702 of the family's 1533-position model. The record is from RNAcentral.
CCUACGGGAGGCAGCAGUAGGGAAUAGUGCUCAAUGGGGGAAACCCUGAAGCAGCAACGCCGCGUGGAGGAUGAAGGUGUUCGGAUUGUAAACUCCUUUUGGUAGAGAAGAGAAUGACGGGAGCUAACGAAUAAGCACCGGCGAACUCCGUGCCAGCAGCCGCGGGAAUACGGAGGGUGCAAGCGUUACUCGGAAUCACGGGGCGUAAAGAGCGCGUAGGAGGGAUAGCAAGUCAGAUGUGAAAUCCUAUGGCUUAACCAUAGACCUUCAUUUGAAACUGUUAUUCUAGAGUAUGGGAGAGGUAGGUGUAAUUCUUGGUGUCGCGGUCAACUCCGUAUAGAUCUAGA